Molecule: ribosomal RNA, 253 nt
Filed under: uncultured bacterium
Lineage: Bacteria
Description: partial 16S ribosomal RNA
Rfam family: Bacterial small subunit ribosomal RNA
Source: RNAcentral
UACGUAGGGGGCAAGCGUUGUCCGGAUUUAUUGGGCGUAAAGAGCGUGUAGGCGGCUAGGUAGGUCCGUUGUGAAAACUCGAGGCUCAACCUCGAGACGCCGAUGGAAACCAUCUGGCUAGAGUCCGGAAGAGGAGAGUGGAAUUCCUGGUGUAGCGGUGAAGUGCGCAGAUAUCAGGAAGAACACCCGUGGCUAAGGCGGCUCUCUAGUACGGUACUGACGCUGAGACGCGAAAGCGUGGGGAGCGAACAGG